This 755-nucleotide long non-coding RNA is filed under the name Triticum aestivum (bread wheat). Its description in RNAcentral is "long non-coding RNA (TAES_LNC020419)". The record is from RNAcentral. Lineage: Eukaryota; Viridiplantae; Streptophyta; Magnoliopsida; Poales; Poaceae.
UAGUAUGUAUUUCAUGGAAACAGAGUGCAGAAAGAAAACUAAAUUCAAUUCCAAGCAGUAGUACAGAGAAUGGGCAUUUCACUUGCCACACAUGGUUAAUAAAACACUGCACAACCCGAAGGCCCCCUUUGUAUUCUCUAACCGUGUAAGAAUAACGAACGCCGCCCGGACAAAUCGGUGGACGACGCUGAUACAGAAGACAUCACCAACUCUUUUACACUUAGUUGUACACGCCAAUUUACAGGAUAUAUGUAUAUCACCAGCACGUCAAGGGAAAAAGAAUGCCGCUAUGAAUCUCUCUACCAUGGUACUACUUCCUCACUCUAGCUCCGCUAUGUAGUUGGGUAGCUCACCCUGGCAGAGGUACUCGUCACAGUAGGACAUCGAUCCCCAGCCCCUCCGUAGCCGGAAGAUAUCCUCUGUGAAGGUGGAGCCUGAUGACCCUAUGAAAACGUUCGACAAAGCGCAGAUUGUCUUGUCGAGCAUGGCCUCGACCUGCAUAAGCAAUCGACACGGUUUGCUAACUGAACUAUUGUCUCAAUACGAGAACCAAGAGAAAAGAAAGUGGAUGGGAAUUGAUAUAUACCUGAUCAUCUCCACCCAUGUGUUUUCUGUACAACAAGGCAUCCCAUUUCUCCGAACCUUCAUGCUCUGGUCUUCUCACAAGAGGUACUUGCCGGUCAUUGAAAACAACCAACGACUGCAGAAGAUUCGUCUCGCUCCCAGCAGCAUCAGUCGACAGAUAUAUUACUGGG